This 336-nucleotide unclassified non-coding RNA is filed under the name uncultured fungus. RNAcentral's name for it is "partial contains 5.8S ribosomal RNA and internal transcribed spacer 2". The stretch from base 1 to 133 matches the Rfam family "5.8S ribosomal RNA", at positions 22 to 154 of the family's 154-position model. Lineage: Eukaryota; Fungi. The record is from RNAcentral.
UGGUUCUGGCAUCGAUGAAGAACGCAGCGAAAUGCGAUAAGUAAUGUGAAUUGCAGAAUUCAGUGAAUCAUCGAAUCUUUGAACGCACAUUGCGCCCGCCAGUAUUCUGGCGGGCAUGCCUGUCCGAGCGUCAUUUCAACCCUCAGGCCUCCGUUCCGGAGGACUGGUGUUGGAGACCGGCCCCACUCGCGGGGGCCGCCUCCGAAAUACAGUGGCGGUCUCGCCGCAGCCUCCCCUGCGUAGUAGCACACCUCGCACCGGAGAGCGGCGCGGCCAUGCCGUAAAACCCCCCACUAUUCUAAGGUUGACCUCGGAUCAGGUAGGAAUACCCGCUGA